UGGUGGAGCGAUUUGUCUGGUCAAUUCCGAUAACGAACGAGACUCUAGCCUACUAAAUAGUUCGGGGACCCCCACAAAGGGGCCCCGCUUCAACUUCUUAGAGGGAUAGGUGGCGUUUAGCCACACGAGAUUGAGCAAUAACA
This 143-nucleotide ribosomal RNA is filed under the name uncultured eukaryote. RNAcentral describes it as "partial 18S ribosomal RNA". It matches the Rfam family "Eukaryotic small subunit ribosomal RNA", at positions 1299 to 1458 of the family's 1831-position model. The record is from RNAcentral.